AUUGAACGCUGGCGGCAGGCUUAACACAUGCACGUCGAGCGGGGGAAGGUAGCUUGCUACUGGACCUAGCGGCGGACGGGUGAGUAAUGCUUAGGAAUCUGCCUAUUAGUGGGGGACAACAUCUCGAAAGGGAUGCUAAUACCGCAUACGUCCUACGGGAGAAAGCAGGGGAUCUUCGGACCUUGCGCUAAUAGAUGAGCAUAAGUCGGAUUAGCUAGUUGGUGGGGUAAAGGCCUACCAAGGCGACGAUCUGAAGCGGGUCUGAGAGGAUGAUCCGCCACACUGGGACUGAGACACGGCCCAGACUCCUACGGGAGGCAGCAGUGGGGAAUAUUGGACAAUGGGGGGAACCCUGAUCCAGCCAUGCCGCGUGUGUGAAGAAGGCCUUAUGGUUGUAAAGCACUUUAAGCGAGGAGGAGGCUACUCUAGUUAAUACCUAGGGAUAGUGGACGUUACUCGCAGAAUAAGCACCGGCUAACUCUGUGCCAGCAGCCGCCGUAA
This 501-nucleotide ribosomal RNA is filed under the name uncultured bacterium. RNAcentral's name for it is "partial 16S ribosomal RNA". It matches the Rfam family "Bacterial small subunit ribosomal RNA", at positions 30 to 523 of the family's 1533-position model. The record is from RNAcentral.